RNAcentral lists this ribosomal RNA (160 nucleotides) under Serratia proteamaculans. RNAcentral describes it as "partial 16S ribosomal RNA". It matches the Rfam family "Bacterial small subunit ribosomal RNA", at positions 374 to 526 of the family's 1533-position model. Lineage: Bacteria; Pseudomonadati; Pseudomonadota; Gammaproteobacteria; Enterobacterales; Yersiniaceae. The record is from RNAcentral.
GGCGCAGCCUGAUGCAGCCAUGCCGCGUGUGUGAAGAAGGCCUUCGGGUUGUAAAGCACUUUCAGCGAGGAGGAAGGGUUCAGUGUUAAUAGCACUGUUCAUUGACGUUACUCGCAGAAGAAGCACCGGCUAACUCCGUGCCAGCAGCCGCGGUAAUGAC